AUUGAACGCUGGCGGCAGGCCUAACACAUGCAAGUCGAGCGGAGCGGCGGACGGGUGAGUAAUACCUCGGAAUCUGCCUGGUAGUGGGGGAUAACGUUGGGAAACGGACGCUAAUACCGCAUACUAUCAGAUGAGCCUAGGUCGGAUUAGCUAGUGGGUGAGGUAAUGGCUCACCAAGGCUACGAUCCGUAACUGGUCUGAGAGGAUGAUCAGUCACCAGGGAACUGAGAGAGGGGCCAGAGGCCUAUGGGAGGCAGCAGUGGGGAAUAUUGCACAGUGGGCGGAAGCCUGAUGUAGCGACGCCGCGUGGGUGAUGAAGGUCUUCGGGUUGUAAACUCCUUUCGACAAGGACGCGGUACCUGUAUAAGAAGCACCGGCUAACUACGUGCCAGCAGCCGCGGUAAUAC
RNAcentral lists this ribosomal RNA (407 nucleotides) under uncultured bacterium. Its description in RNAcentral is "partial 16S ribosomal RNA". It matches the Rfam family "Bacterial small subunit ribosomal RNA", at positions 30 to 526 of the family's 1533-position model. The record is from RNAcentral.